RNAcentral lists this ribosomal RNA (767 nucleotides) under uncultured Granulicatella sp. RNAcentral's name for it is "bacterial SSU rRNA". It matches the Rfam family "Bacterial small subunit ribosomal RNA", at positions 28 to 776 of the family's 1533-position model. Lineage: Bacteria; Bacillati; Bacillota; Bacilli; Lactobacillales; Carnobacteriaceae. The record is from RNAcentral.
GACGAACGCUGGCGGCGUGCCUAAUACAUGCAAGUCGAACGAGAGCGACCGGUGCUUGCACUGGUCAAUCUAGUGGCGAGCGGGUGAGUAACACGUGGGUAACCUGCCCAUCAGAGGGGGAUAACAUUCGGAAACGGAUGCUAAAACCGCAUAGGUCCUUUAACCGCAUGGUUGAAGGAGGAAAAGAGGCGCAAGCUUCUGCUGAUGGAUGGACCCGCGGUGCAUUAGCUAGUUGGUGAGGUAACGGCUCACCAAGGCCGUGAUGCAUAGCCGACCUGAGAGGGUGAUCGGCCACAUUGGGACUGAGACACGGCCCAAACUCCUACGGGAGGCAGCAGUAGGGAAUCUUCCGCAAUGGACGCAAGUCUGACGGAGCAACGCCGCGUGAGUGAAGAAGGUUUUCGGAUCGUAAAACUCUGUUGUUAGAGAAGAACAAGUGCUAGAGUAACUGUUAGCGCCUUGACGGUAUCUAACCAGAAAGCCACGGCUAACUACGUGCCAGCAGCCGCGGUAAUACGUAGGUGGCAAGCGUUGUCCGGAUUUAUUGGGCGUAAAGCGAGCGCAGGCGGUUCCUUAAGUCUGAUGUGAAAGCCCCCGGCUCAACCGGGGAGGGUCAUUGGAAACUGGGGAACUUGAGUGCAGAAGAGGAGAGUGGAAUUCCAUGUGUAGCGGUGAAAUGCGUAGAUAUAUGGAGGAACACCAGUGGCGAAGGCGACUCUCUGGUCUGUAACUGACGCUGAGGCUCGAAAGCGUGGGUAGCAAACAGG